RNAcentral lists this ribosomal RNA (582 nucleotides) under Variovorax sp. enrichment culture. Its description in RNAcentral is "bacterial SSU rRNA". It matches the Rfam family "Bacterial small subunit ribosomal RNA", at positions 18 to 595 of the family's 1533-position model. Lineage: Bacteria; Pseudomonadati; Pseudomonadota; Betaproteobacteria; Burkholderiales; Comamonadaceae. The record is from RNAcentral.
CAUGGCUCAGAUUGAACGCUGGCGGCAUGCCUUACACAUGCAAGUCGAACGGCAGCGCGGGAGCAAUCCUGGCGGCGAGUGGCGAACGGGUGAGUAAUACAUCGGAACGUGCCCAAUCGUGGGGGAUAACGCAGCGAAAGCUGUGCUAAUACCGCAUACGAUCUACGGAUGAAAGCAGGGGAUCGCAGGACCUUGCGCGAAUGGAGCGGCCGAUGGCAGAUUAGGUAGUUGGUGAGGUAAAGGCUCACCAAGCCUUCGAUCUGUAGCUGGUCUGAGAGGACGACCAGCCACACUGGGACUGAGACACGGCCCAGACUCCUACGGGAGGCAGCAGUGGGGAAUUUUGGACAAUGGGCGCAAGCCUGAUCCAGCCAUGCCGCGUGCAGGAUGAAGGCCUUCGGGUUGUAAACUGCUUUUGUACGGAACGAAACGGUCUUUUCUAAUAAAGAAGGCUAAUGACGGUACCGUAAGAAUAAGCACCGGCUAACUACGUGCCAGCAGCCGCGGUAAUACGUAGGGUGCAAGCGUUAAUCGGAAUUACUGGGCGUAAAGCGUGCGCAGGCGGUAAUGUAAGACAGUUGU